AUUGAACGCUGGCGGAAUGCCUUACACAUGCAAGUCGAACGGCAGCACGGGAGCAAUCCUGGUGGCGAGUGGCGAACGGGUGAGUAAAGUAUCGGAACGUGCCCAGUCGUGGGGGAUAACGUAGCGAAAGUUACGCUAAUACCGCAUACGAUCUAUGGAUGAAAGCGGGGGGAUCGCAAGACCUCGCGCGAUUGGAGCGGCCGAUAUCAGAUUAGGUAGUUGGUGGGGUAAAGGCUCACCAAGCCGACGAUCUGUAGCUGGUCUGAGAGGACGACCAGCCACACUGGGACUGAGACACGGCCCAGACUCCUACGGGAGGCAGCAGUGGGGAAUUUUGGACAAUGGGCGAAAGCCUGAUCCAGCCAUGCCGCGUGCAGGAUGAAGGCCUUCGGGUUGUAAACUGCUUUUGUACGGAACGAAAAGGUUUGGGCUAAUAAGCUGAGCUCAUGACGGUACCGUAAGAAUAAGCACCGGCUAACUACGUGCCAGCAGCCGCAGUAA
This 501-nucleotide ribosomal RNA is filed under the name uncultured bacterium. RNAcentral describes it as "partial 16S ribosomal RNA". It matches the Rfam family "Bacterial small subunit ribosomal RNA", at positions 30 to 523 of the family's 1533-position model. The record is from RNAcentral.